RNAcentral lists this long non-coding RNA (757 nucleotides) under Malus domestica (apple). RNAcentral's name for it is "long non-coding RNA (MDOM_LNC004015)". Lineage: Eukaryota; Viridiplantae; Streptophyta; Magnoliopsida; Rosales; Rosaceae. The record is from RNAcentral.
ACCUGAGAAACCAAACCCACAAAAAUCGCCCCGAGAAGUGCAACUUUUCUCCAAUCAGGUGUUGGAGAGAUGAAAGAGUCGACGAGUUGUAUGAGUAGCAGGCCAAUUAGUGCAAGGUAAAUAUUCCUCCUGAUUUCUGAUCCUGCAGUGUUUUUGGUAAGCUCCUUGAUCUUAUUUAUUUCCUCGGCAGCGUUCACUUUUUCUUUCGGUUUCCCCUGCGUUAGACUCUUGAAAAAUAACCCUUCAUUUCGCUCCUUUUCAAUCUGACCUUCGAAUGCUUCUAACUCGUUUUCGUUUUUCUCCAUCUCCACUAUGUUUACUCCCGCAGAUUCCUCAAAGGCUUGCAUGCGGCUGUUUAUAUUCUCCAAUAUCUGCUAAUCACAAACGAACAAGAAUUGGAUUAUCAACAGAAUUGCAUAGCAAGUCGCGUUUUUAUAUCUUUAAUGCGGUGCAUAGAGGAGGAACUUAAAAACAGACCCUGUCGCUGGCUGCGUCCAGGUCUUUGAGGGCAUCUUCUCCAAUCUUGUCAAACUCGGCGGUUACCUCCUCUCCAAAUUUGGUAAGAUAUUCUGACCUUUCGUCCAAGUAAUCGGCAAGACGGACUUUCUGAGCUUGAAGCAUUGCUAUCCUCACCAGCAGCUCUUGCUUGCGAGUGUCGCCUUCGGGCGGGGAAGCUUCCGACUCGGAGUCUGAAUCAUUGGACUUGCUGCAGCGCAAGAUGGACGUCUUGGCGCUGGACGAUCUUCCUGUGUAUAAA